GGGCAGAUACCGAAGUGGUUAAACGGGACUGACUGUAGAUCAGUUGGCCUAGCGCCUUCGGGGGUUCGAAUCCUCCUCUGCCCA
This 84-nucleotide transfer RNA is filed under the name Chloroflexota bacterium. RNAcentral's name for it is "Chloroflexi bacterium tRNA-Tyr". It matches the Rfam family "tRNA". Rfam says of the family: Transfer RNA (tRNA) molecules are approximately 80 nucleotides in length. Their secondary structure includes four short double-helical elements and three loops (D, anti-codon, and T loops). Lineage: Bacteria; Bacillati; Chloroflexota. The record is from RNAcentral. RNAcentral also lists the same sequence under 4 other names.